RNAcentral lists this small RNA (88 nucleotides) under bovine gut metagenome. RNAcentral describes it as "GA-cis RNA". It matches the Rfam family "GA-cis RNA". The record is from RNAcentral.
UGAGAAGGAGCCAAUGUGGACGAAGUCCACAUUCUGCGAAUGGCUCCGACGAUAUGCCGCCAACCGGAUGGGAGGGGGCGAUACAUAU